This 446-nucleotide ribosomal RNA is filed under the name uncultured bacterium. RNAcentral describes it as "SSU rRNA". It matches the Rfam family "Bacterial small subunit ribosomal RNA", at positions 26 to 518 of the family's 1533-position model. The record is from RNAcentral.
AGAACGAACGCUGGCGGCAGGCUUAACACAUGCAAGUCGAGCGCUGUAGCAAUACAGAGCGGCAGACGGGUGAGUAACGCGUGGGAACAUACCCUCCGGUUCGGAAUAACUCAGGGAAACUUGAGCUAAUACCGAAUACGGUCGAGAGGCGAAAGAUUUAUCGCCGGAGGAUUGGCCCGCGUUCGAUUAGCUAGUUGGUGAGGUAACGGCUCACCAAGGCGACGAUCGAUAGCUGGUCUGAGAGGAUGAUCAGCCACAUUGGGACUGAGACACGGCCCAAACUCCUACGGGAGGCAGCAGUGGGGAAUAUUGGACAAUGGGCGAAAGCCUGAUCCAGCCAUGCCGCGUGAGUGAUGACGGCCUUAGGGUUGUAAAGCUCUUUCGCUAGGGACGAUAAUGACGGUACCUAGACAAGAAGCCCCGGCUAACUACGUGCCAGCAGCCGC